Aphis gossypii (cotton aphid) is the source of this 481-nucleotide long non-coding RNA. RefSeq lists it as uncharacterized. The record is from RefSeq and is a predicted model, not a curated record. The transcript is spliced from 3 exons. Lineage: Eukaryota; Metazoa; Arthropoda; Insecta; Hemiptera; Aphididae.
ACUGUUUGUGACAUUUUAAAUUAUUAAACGGUUUUAAAAUGUAGUUUGAAGGGUUUGGAAUUUCGGAUUCAAUGAUUCCAUCCACAGUUUUAGUCAUCGACUGUUUGUAUGGUUUAGCUUAUUUGUCAUGGAAAAAUAGACUUAACGAUAGAUUGGAUUUUAGCCUCAUGCAGAGACUUUUGAGAAAUGGAAUUAUCUGUUGACAAUAAUUUUCCACUCACGCCAUUCAUACCUUUUGUUCUAUUUCUUCCACGAAGACAAGCACUGAUUGAAGAUUUCCAACUGUAUUCGCUACCCAAAAUGGAAACUGCUUGCUCGAGAAACACAACGCACAAUUAAAGACCGCGCUGGAACCAAUAGGUGUAAACUAUUCGGAAUUAUUUUGCCAACAGCAGCAAAGAACGGUUGUCAAUGAAAUUCCGGUUCGGACACGAAGACCGAUUUUAAAAAUUGAGUUUUACGAUUAAAAUUUUUGUUUAUA